UCUCUGGUAGUGCAUGGGUUAACACGUGUGCCUGAAAUGUGGAGAUAGCCAGUGUCGGCCGAAAGGUGGGUUCGAAUCCCAACUGGAGAC
This 90-nucleotide transfer RNA is filed under the name Armillaria gallica. Its description in RNAcentral is "tRNA-Phe". The record is from RNAcentral. Lineage: Eukaryota; Fungi; Basidiomycota; Agaricomycetes; Agaricales; Physalacriaceae.